Molecule: ribosomal RNA, 405 nt
Filed under: uncultured bacterium
Lineage: Bacteria
Description: bacterial SSU rRNA
Rfam family: Bacterial small subunit ribosomal RNA
Source: RNAcentral
UGGGGAAUAUUGGACAAUGGGCGCAAGCCUGAUCCAGCCAUGCCGCGUGAGUGAUGAAGGCCUUAGGGUUGUAAAGCUCUUUUAGCAGGGACGAUAAUGACGGUACCUGCAGAAAAAGCCCCGGCCAACUUCGUGCCAGCAGCCGCGGUAAUACGAAGGGGGCUAGCGUUGCUCGGAAUCACUGGGCGUAAAGCGCACGUAGGUGGGUCGUUAAGUCAGGGGUGAAAUCCCGGAGCUCAACUCCGGAACUGCCUUUGAUACUGGCGACCUUCGAGUCCGGGAGAGGUGAGUGGAAUUGCGAGUGUAGAGGUGAAAUUCGUAGAUAUUCGCAAGAACACCAGUGGCGAAGGCGGCUCACUGGCCCGGUACUGACACUGAGGUGCGAAAGCGUGGGGAGCAAACAGG